This 249-nucleotide ribosomal RNA is filed under the name uncultured bacterium. RNAcentral's name for it is "partial 16S ribosomal RNA". It matches the Rfam family "Bacterial small subunit ribosomal RNA", at positions 524 to 776 of the family's 1533-position model. The record is from RNAcentral.
UACGAAGGGGCUAGCGUUGCUCGGAAUCACUGGGCGUAAAGCGCACGUAGGCGGACUUUUAAGUCAGGGUGAAAUCCUGGAGCUCAACUCCAGAACUGCCUUUGAUACUGAGGAUCUUGAGUUCGGGAGAGGUGAGUGGAACUGCGAGUGUAGAGGUGAAAUUCGUAGAUAUUCGCAAGAACACCAGUGGCGAAGGCGGCUCACUGGCCCGAUACUGACGCUGAGGCACGAAAGCGUGGGAGCAACAGG